Molecule: non-coding RNA, 82 nt
Organism: Cucumis melo (muskmelon)
Lineage: Eukaryota; Viridiplantae; Streptophyta; Magnoliopsida; Cucurbitales; Cucurbitaceae
Source: Rfam
GAGAUUUGAUGAGGUUUUUAUAUUGGUCCGUGUUUCUGAUUAAACCAUGACUGUUUUCAACUCCUAAUAUGCCUCUGAUCUC